ACUAUAAUAGUUUAAUUAAAACAUAGGUUUUGUAAUCCUAAAUUGAAUUUCUUAUAGUA
This 59-nucleotide transfer RNA is filed under the name Nothoaspis amazoniensis. RNAcentral's name for it is "tRNA-Thr". It matches the Rfam family "tRNA". From Rfam's summary of the family: Transfer RNA (tRNA) molecules are approximately 80 nucleotides in length. The record is from RNAcentral. Lineage: Eukaryota; Metazoa; Arthropoda; Arachnida; Ixodida; Argasidae.